RNAcentral lists this non-coding RNA (242 nucleotides) under Megasphaera elsdenii. RNAcentral describes it as "T-box sequence". It matches the Rfam family "T-box leader". Rfam says of the family: Uncharged tRNA acts as the effector for transcription antitermination of genes in the T-box leader family. T-boxes are found upstream of many aminoacyl-tRNA synthetase genes and some amino acid biosynthetic genes usually in Gram-positive bacteria. The record is from RNAcentral. Lineage: Bacteria; Bacillati; Bacillota; Negativicutes; Veillonellales; Veillonellaceae.
GUAAAUCUAAUGACGAGAGAAAGUAGUCUGGACCAUUGCUUUCCAGAGAGCUGGCGGCCGGUGCGAGCCAGUACGGUGAUACAGAUGAAGCUCCUCUCCGAAGAUCGACGCUGAACUUUAUUAGGCGCCGACGGCAUUUCACCGUUACCAGAAACGCGUAUGUUGGUACGUUGUAGAGAGUCCGGCUGCAGUAAUGCACCGGGAAUCAGGGUGGUAUCGCGGAAUUAUACUCCGUCCCUUAC